UUUUCUUUUCCAGAGGAAAAUACAAGAACAGUCUUGAAAAGUUUGAGGCACUUUGAUGAAUGAUAAACGUGAAGGCAGGAUUAAACGUUAAAAUCCAUUUUAAAAGCACAACAUAAGGAUCUGUAGUUUCUUUGCUAAAGUCUCUUUGACGCGACGAUGAGUUCACGGCGCCCCGCGCUCCCCGGCGUGGGAUGUGCCAUCUCCCCUGCCAUCUGAGGGAACAGGAGAGGCUCUGGCGUGACCCAACAGUCCCCCUUAUGAUCCAGCACUGCCGACACUGGGGAAGCCUUUGGCCUCGUGGAGACAGAUGGCAUCAAUGGUGGGUAAGUGUGCCUCAGGAUGGCAUGACAUGCGGGGCCGCCUCGCCAUGAAUACUUCCAUACAAAUUUCAACUUUAAAGUGACUACGAUGCGCUUGAGGUCAGCUGAUGUCAUCCAAAACCGCGCAAGGAGAGCUUUGAGUCAUUUAAACAGCGUAUUUAGUCUCCUACAUUAUUCUAAAAUGAACACAAUGUGUUAUAUAUAUUUUUUAAAAUACUGUGACAAAUAGUCAAAAUAUUUUAGUAUUUUACAGAAAUUGUUAUACUUAAAAUGUUGGGGUCCUCAACAUAUUUUUCAAGGUCAACGUGAACAGUAGUAGACCUCUGUAAUAUUGUUUGCAGAUGAUAAAGUACAUAAAUAAAUAACUAAUUAUUAAAAAAGGUUUUAAUGAUAAUCUAAUAAAAUACAAAUUAUAUUUGAAAAAUAUAUUAUUAAAAACCAAUUUUAAACAAUACAACAUUCACCGUUCAUAUGGAUUUUCUAAAUCUAUAGCACCUACUGAGUGAUAUGUGUAAAAAAUUAAGGCAUUUAAAUUUGGCAUCCCCCAUGUUCGAAAUGACAAAAACAAAUUUUAGGUCACAGUGUGAUGCAGUGCGGUUCAGCACCAUUGCAAAUUACAGCCAAGGUAAAAAAUUGUCAUAUGAACCCUUUUUUUUGUUUGUUUUAUUGGAUCUCCAUAGAUGCCUAUUGAAGUCUAACUGCUACACCACGUAUUCUUUUGCUAUUUUAUGAUCAGGUAGUUGCUAUCAAUAUAUGUUGAAGAGGGAGCAACAGCAAUGUGUAAAUACUCUUAUUAAUUUAUACAAACAGAGUUGCUCCAUCAGAGCACAGAUACAAAACAUUCAGUAGAUAACAGGACAUUCAGGAGACAACAGAACAAAUGUCUGCCUUAUGUAUGUUGCUCCUUCUUUUCCCCUCCCUAUUCUUCUCUACCUUAUUCCUGCUUGUGGACGGAACUAUGACGUUGUUUCAUCUGCUGAAGUGCAUUGUGUACUUGAAACAACCCAAGGUCUUGCAAAUAAAGAACCAACUAUAACUCCACAACAAUGUA
This is a long non-coding RNA of Syngnathus typhle (broad-nosed pipefish), 1371 nucleotides long. RefSeq lists it as uncharacterized. Lineage: Eukaryota; Metazoa; Chordata; Actinopteri; Syngnathiformes; Syngnathidae. The record is from RefSeq and is a predicted model, not a curated record. The transcript has 2 exons.